RNAcentral lists this ribosomal RNA (492 nucleotides) under uncultured bacterium. RNAcentral's name for it is "partial 16S ribosomal RNA". It matches the Rfam family "Bacterial small subunit ribosomal RNA", at positions 29 to 507 of the family's 1533-position model. The record is from RNAcentral.
AGUGAACGCUGGCGGUAGGCCUAACACAUGCAAGUCGAACGGCAGCACAGUAAGAGCUUGCUCUUACGGGUGGCGAGUGGCGGACGGGUGAGGAAUACAUCGGAAUCUACUUUUUCGUGGGGGAUAACGUAGGGAAACUUACGCUAAUACCGCAUACGACCUACGGGUGAAAGCAGGGGAUCUUCGGACCUUGCGCGAUUGAAUGAGCCGAUGUCGGAUUAGCUAAUUGGCGGGGUAAAGGCCCACCAAGGCGACGAUCCGUAGCUGGUCUGAGAGGAUGAUCAGCCACACUGGAACUGAGACACGGUCCAGACUCCUACGGGAGGCAGCAGUGGGGAAUAUUGGACAAUGGGCGCAAGCCUGAUCCAGCCAUACCGCGUGGGUGAAGAAGGCCUUCGGGUUGUAAAGCCCUUUUGUUGGGAAAGAAAAGCAGCAGGUUAAUACCCCGCUGUUCUGACGGUACCCAGAGAAUAAGCACCGGCUAACUUCGUG